UCUCCGUAGGUGAACCUGCGGAGGGAUCAUUACUGAGUGAGGGCUCCGGCCCGACCUCCAACCCCAUGUGAACCGAAACCUGUUGCUUCGGGGGCGACCCUGGCUUCGUGCGAGGCGCCCCCGGAGGCUCAUCAAACACUGCAUCUUUGCGUCGGAGUCUUAAUGAAUUUAAACACAACUUUUAACAACGGCUCUCUUGGUUCUGGCAUCGAUGCAGAACGCAGC
This 225-nucleotide unclassified non-coding RNA is filed under the name uncultured fungus. RNAcentral describes it as "sequence contains ITS1, 5.8S rRNA gene". The record is from RNAcentral. Lineage: Eukaryota; Fungi.